Long non-coding RNA from Carassius gibelio (silver crucian carp), 456 nucleotides. RefSeq lists it as uncharacterized. The transcript has 4 exons. The record is from RefSeq and is a predicted model, not a curated record. Lineage: Eukaryota; Metazoa; Chordata; Actinopteri; Cypriniformes; Cyprinidae.
CACGGGAGGCGAAUCAACUAUUCCCCACUAUCACUCGCCAUGAACUCUGCACAGAAAAGGAAGUCGAGGCCGCGCAGACAACGUGCUGCGGAAAGAGCGAGCGCUCGAGCAGAGACGUGCGCGCCGCACGGACGCGCGCCUCCUAUCGACAGGUAUUACAAUCGAAUCCUUGUGGGACAUUUGAUCUCAAUAACAUAGGCAUACCAGUACACACCCACACACAGCCACCCUUGCCCCUUGAAAGUGUGAGGCUCCCCAGAGGGCCCCGGCCUCCUGAUUGAGAGCAACUGACCUAGUGGAGAAAACCUUUUCAUUUGCUGCAGAUGAAAGCUCCAUCGCAAUGCGUAGCUGUUCAUCAAAACUGGUGGCCACAGCAAAUGCUCCCGGCGCCCGAGGCUCGGUCAGUGAGCUGUAAGACGGAGGUGAGAUGAGUGCGGGAUCAGACGGGGAGAACGG